UACGUAGGGUGCGAGCGUUAUUCGGAAUUACUGGGCGUAAAGCGUGCGUAGGCGGUUCGUUAAGUUCGUUGUGAAAGCCCCGGGCUCAACCUGGGAAUGGCAAUGGAAACUGGCGGGCUGGAGUAUGGCAGAGGGGGGUGGAAUUCCGCGUGUAGCAGUGAAAUGCGUAGAGAUGCGGAGGAACACCGAUGGCGAAGGCAGCCCCCUGGGCCAAUACUGACGCUCAGGCACGAAAGCGUGGGGAGCAAACAGG
RNAcentral lists this ribosomal RNA (253 nucleotides) under uncultured bacterium. RNAcentral describes it as "partial 16S ribosomal RNA". It matches the Rfam family "Bacterial small subunit ribosomal RNA", at positions 524 to 776 of the family's 1533-position model. The record is from RNAcentral.